Molecule: ribosomal RNA, 253 nt
Filed under: uncultured bacterium
Lineage: Bacteria
Description: partial 16S ribosomal RNA
Rfam family: Bacterial small subunit ribosomal RNA
Source: RNAcentral
UACGUAGGGGGCAAGCGUUGUCCGGAUUUAUUGGGCGUAAAGAGCGUGUAGGCGGCCAGGUAGGUCUGCUGUGAAAACUCGAGGCUUAACCUCGAGAUGUCGGCGGAAACCAUCUGGCUAGAGUCCGGAAGAGGAGAAUGGAAUUCCCGGUGUAGCGGUGAAAUGCGCAGAUAUCGGGAAGAACACCCGUGGCGAAGGCGGUUCUCUGGGCCGGUACUGACGCUGAGACGCGAAAGCGUGGGGAGCGAACAGG